UCGACUUUAGGCCCCCGGUCCCGAGAGCGGUCGUGUAGAGCGCCAGGUAGAGCAUGCCCAGCUGCGCCCCAGUGGCCUUCUCGCACACGCCGUCCGCCGUGCACAGCGCCGGCCGCAGCCCCGCCACCGCCGUCGAGAUCGAAAAAAAGGGAGAAGGGGUGCGUACGGAGGCUUGAACGGCGGCGAAGACGGCGAUGGUGAGGUACCGGCCGAGAAAGGUAUCGCCGACGAAGCCGCCUAGGAGACAGAGCAUGAAGGAGGUGCCCAGGAAGUUGGUGACGGCGUUGGCAGCGGCGGCAUUACCCAGGUGCAUCGUCGCAGUCAAGUAGGUGACCAGAUUGACGGCGAUCCCCAGCGUCGUCAGCCUCUCGUUGAGCUCCACCACUUCACUCGCACGUCAACAUGGAUUCGCCAUUAAUGCUAUUUAAUCAUAAUUUACCAGAGCUAGCUGAAAUUACAAGUACUGAGAAUCGAUUAUAAGAUCUAUCUACUACGUGCCUAGGAUCAUGGCGGCGCUGGUCCAGCCGCCCGUGCGGGAUCGGACGGCGGGGCGGCCGCUGUAGUCCCAGGCGUCGGCGACGAUCUCGCCAGAGGCUUUGUGUUCCGGCAAGCCAACCAUUGUAGUCGGUCGAACUAGAAGAAGAUAUCGAGGCUUUGUUGUGAAUAAGUAUGCAGAAACAGAGGAAGAGGGAAGCCAUUUAUAGA
This is a long non-coding RNA of Zingiber officinale, 705 nucleotides long. RefSeq lists it as uncharacterized. The record is from RefSeq and is a predicted model, not a curated record. NCBI's taxonomy places the organism in Eukaryota, Viridiplantae, Streptophyta, Magnoliopsida, Zingiberales, Zingiberaceae. The transcript has 2 exons.